CCCUUAGAUGUUCUGGGCCGCACGCGCGCUCCACUGAUGCAUUCAACGAGUCUAAAACCUGCUCUGAUAGGGGUGGGUAAUCUUUUGAAUGUGCAUCGUGAUUGGGAUAGAUGAUUGAAAUUUUUCAUCUUCAACGAGGAAUGCCUAGUAAACGCAAGUCAUCAGCUUGCAUUGAUUACGUCCCUGCCCUUUGUACACACCGCCCGUCGCUCCUACCGAUUGAAUGAUCCGAUGAAUAUCAUGGAUUGAGGAUGCAAGUAGGUUCACCUAUCUUCAUCUUCGAGAAGUGAAGUAAAUCUUAUCAUUUAGAGGAAGGAGAAGUCGUAACA
RNAcentral lists this ribosomal RNA (329 nucleotides) under uncultured eukaryote. RNAcentral's name for it is "partial 18S ribosomal RNA". It matches the Rfam family "Eukaryotic small subunit ribosomal RNA", at positions 1470 to 1796 of the family's 1831-position model. The record is from RNAcentral.